Long non-coding RNA from Styela clava, 622 nucleotides. RefSeq lists it as uncharacterized. The record is from RefSeq and is a predicted model, not a curated record. Lineage: Eukaryota; Metazoa; Chordata; Ascidiacea; Stolidobranchia; Styelidae.
CGGGAAGCCACAAGCGACAUCGCUUUUAGUCAGUCAGAAAUGUUCGUGAUAGGAUGAGGUUUGAUUUUCUGUAGGAUGUAUGGAUAGGCUGACUAUUGGGUUAUGACAGUGAGUUCAAAACAAUAUUCAGCGUUUUGAAACGAUUUAUAAUUGCACCGAAAGAAAUUCGUCAAGAGCCAGAUUUUCAUCACUGAGUGAGAUGGAGGCCUAUCAAGUCUGAAGAGCAACUUUCUGAAACACUUCUUGAAAGCGAGAAAGACAAUUUAUCAUUAUAUCUGAAGACAUGCGGAAUUAUUUGUCCGAUUAUGCAUCACUGAGAGAGGUGGCUGCCUCGAGUCUAUAAAGCAAGCAUGAACUUCACAAGGAACUAAGCACGGAAUAUGACAUACUGAUGAAGACCCGCUCAGAGUUGCAUUGUCAAGUUACACUCUGGAGUACAACACACUGGUGGAGUGCAUUAGACCAGAUUUGUUCGAUUUGGGUUUUCUCCUUGUUGAAAACAAGAUAUUCAUAAUUAGUUAAAUGUGUUUGUAAAUGUAACAUUCGGCAGUCCAACUGUUAAGAUCAUUUCAUCUUAGGGUUAUGCAGGGUGUUUGUAAAAAAAGUAGGUAUACAUUGUGGA